RNAcentral lists this ribosomal RNA (504 nucleotides) under uncultured Lachancea. Its description in RNAcentral is "eukaryotic LSU rRNA". It matches the Rfam family "Eukaryotic large subunit ribosomal RNA", at positions 62 to 566 of the family's 3401-position model. The record is from RNAcentral. Lineage: Eukaryota; Fungi; Ascomycota; Saccharomycetes; Saccharomycetales; Saccharomycetaceae.
AAACCAACCGGGAUUGCCUUAGUAACGGCGAGUGAAGCGGCAAAAGCUCAAAUUUGAAAUCUGGCACCUUCGGUGUCCGAGUUGUAAUUUGAAGAAGCAACUUUGGUGCUGGUCCUUGUCUAUGUUCCUUGGAACAGGACGUCAUAGAGGGUGAGAAUCCCGUGUGGCGAGGAUCCCAGUGCUAUGUAAAGUGCUUUCGACGAGUCGAGUUGUUUGGGAAUGCAGCUCUAAGUGGGUGGUAAAUUCCAUCUAAAGCUAAAUAUUGGCGAGAGACCGAUAGCGAACAAGUACAGUGAUGGAAAGAUGAAAAGAACUUUGAAAAGAGAGUGAAAAAGUACGUGAAAUUGUUGAAAGGGAAGGGCAUUUGAUCAGACAUGGUGUUUUUGCAUGCACUCGCCUCUCGUGGGCUUGGGCCUCUCAAAAAUUUCACUGGGCCAACAUCAAUUCUGGCAGCAGGAUAAAUCAUUAAGAAUGUAGCUACUUCGGUAGUGUUAUAGCUUUUUA